Long non-coding RNA from Capsicum annuum, 962 nucleotides. RefSeq lists it as uncharacterized. NCBI's taxonomy places the organism in Eukaryota, Viridiplantae, Streptophyta, Magnoliopsida, Solanales, Solanaceae. The transcript is spliced from 3 exons. The record is from RefSeq and is a predicted model, not a curated record.
GUAUACCAUAUUUUUUUAUGGUCCAAUGAGAAGUUUCUCUUUUUCUUUUUUUUAAUCUCCUUUCUUUCUCUCUCUUUCUGUAAAGUUUAAGUUUUGUCUUUGAUUUUAAAUGUGUAUUUAUGUUAUAUCAGGCUAACAAAUAUGGAGUUAUUUGAUAUAAAAAGUUCGACAUUCAGAAAUCAAAUAUAACAAGCAAAGACAACGGAGGGAGUAACACAUAUGGACGGACAAUUAAACGUAUAAAUCCAGUAAGAUCAUCCAAGGCAUGCAUUAUCUAUUAUUAUUCAUCAACAAUGUUUCAUCAUCUUCUUCUUCUUAAUCUUUCUGUACGUGUACAAAGCCUUCCUCAAAAUAGCUCAACUGUUGAAUUUCUUCCUGGUUUCGAUGGCCCUCUUCCUUUUUAUCUUGAGGCUGGCUUUUGAAGAUCAAGAAAGGUUGCAGUAGUAGUCUUCUCAAGAAAUUUGCUGAAGUGAUGUAUUUUGAAGUUUUCAGAUACAUUGGAGUUGUCAAAUCUGAGGAAGUGCAACUAUUCUAUUACUUUGUUAAAUCAGAGUCCUACCCAAAGAAAGAUGAUUUGGUGUUUGUCUCAGAUGUGUUUACAAAACUGACAGUCAAAAAGUAGAUGAUUCAAGCUCUCGUUAUCGGUGUAGCAAAAUGCACAUUCUUGAUCUGUUAUAAUCCCCAUUUGCUCAAUCUAUCUUUAGUAUAUUGUUAGAAAGUAGGAGAACAUGUUUGUAGUUUUGAUGAUUGACAAAUUAUAAACUAGGAAUAAUUGACAAAUGUAAAAUGCUAUGAUUCUCAAAGUUGUGCUUUUAAGCACAAGAUUUAGCUGAAGUUACUAGGGCAAGUUUGCCAAAAGGACACUAUGGAAAACAAUUUUGCCAAAGUUUUAAACUUGUUGAAUAAUUUGCUAAAAAGACACUUAAAUCCACAUCAUCAUCAAUUUUUCCAACUUAAAAGCU